This is a microRNA precursor of Oryza rufipogon (brownbeard rice), 207 nucleotides long. It matches the Rfam family "MIR812 microRNA precursor family". The record is from Rfam. Lineage: Eukaryota; Viridiplantae; Streptophyta; Magnoliopsida; Poales; Poaceae.
AAAUAGACAAACUCUGAGUUUCCGUGUCCAACGUUUGACCGUCCGUCUUAUUUAAAAAAAUUAUGAAAGAAAUUAAAAAGACAAGUCACACAUAAAGUAUUAAUCAUAUUUUAUCAUCUAACAAUAAUAAAAAUACUAAUUAUAAGAAAAUUUCAUAUAAUAAGGACAGUCAAACGUUGGACACGGAAACUUAGGGUUUAUCUUUUU